Long non-coding RNA from Nerophis ophidion (straightnose pipefish), 618 nucleotides. RefSeq lists it as uncharacterized. The transcript has 3 exons. The record is from RefSeq and is a predicted model, not a curated record. NCBI's taxonomy places the organism in Eukaryota, Metazoa, Chordata, Actinopteri, Syngnathiformes, Syngnathidae.
UGCUGGUGUAGUGGCCUGCGGCCUACCCCCUAACAAAGUACUCUAAUUGGAUUUAUCACCAAAUGAAACUGUCAGUAAUGGCGACAGGUGCUUUCUUCAUUCUUUCAUUCGUUCAAGUCUGGAACAUCCCUUUGGGUAAGAUGGUGGGGGAGACCUCUGGACAGACCCGGCAAACCGAAGCGUGUAGUGCGGAUGAACUGGGAACGUUUGGAGGAGUCCUCUGUCCGGAGGGACUUCAACUCCCACCUCUUGCGGGACUUCUCUGCCAUCCCUGUGGAGGUUGGGGACAUUGAACAGGAAUGGACAAUGUUCAAAGUAGGGCUGUGCGAUAUGGCCUUUUUUUUAAUAUCUCGAUAUUUUUAGGCCCUAUCUCGAUACACGAUAUAUAUCUCAAUAUUUUGCCUUGGCCUCGAAUCAACACUUGAUGCUUUUAAUCACAGCAGUAUGAUGAUCCAAUGUGUCUACAUUAAAACAUUCUUGUUCAUACUGCAUUAAUAUAUGCUAAUUUUAAACUUUCAUGCACAGAAGGAAAUCACAACUAAGUCAAUUAACCAAAACUGUAUUUAUUAAAUAGUUAUUAAGCAAUGGCACAAACAUUCAUGUCAUUUCCAAAACAGA